Lutra lutra (Eurasian river otter) is the source of this 408-nucleotide long non-coding RNA. RefSeq lists it as uncharacterized. Lineage: Eukaryota; Metazoa; Chordata; Mammalia; Carnivora; Mustelidae. The transcript has 2 exons. The record is from RefSeq and is a predicted model, not a curated record.
CCAGCUCACACCUUUCAAAGAUCUUGCCCUGGACAAUGACGGAAAGGAAGAGAAUCCCGAGAAGAAGGAGAGCCUUCAUGUUGACUGGGAAGCCAGACCUCCAGGCUGACCAGGGAGAGCAGUCCUCGAGCCGCAGCUGAAACCCUAAAAGAGUAGAAGGACAAAGAAUUUCCUCCUCCUGUCAUUUCUAGUGAUGAGGAUGGGAGAGUAGAAGGCUGGAAAACGCUUCUCUCCACAAAGACUGCAGUUGACUUGUGGGGUAACUGACAACAGACCAGCAGAAGGUACGAGUUCUUACCAUGUGAGCCUCCCAGAUCUCUGACUAUAGUUUCCAGCCAAGAGAAGAGUAUAAAACUUUCUCCUUUUCCCUUCCUCUCCAAAUUCAUCAUGGGAGGAGAAUAACAUUUC